AGAGUUUGAUCCUGGCUCAGGAUGAACGCUAGCUACAGGCUUAACACAUGCAAGUCGAGGGGAAACGAUAUUGGAAGCUUGCUUCCGAUAGGCGUCGACCGGCGCACGGGUGAGUAACGCGUAUCCAACCUGCCCACCACUUGGGGAUAACCUUGCGAAAGUAAGACUAAUACCCAAUGAUAUCUCUAGAAGACAUCUGAAAGAGAUUAAAGAUUUAUCGGUGAUGGAUGGGGAUGCGUCUGAUUAGCUUGUUGGCGGGUAACGGCCACCAAGGCGACGAUCAGUAGGGGUUCUGAGAGGAAGGUCCCCCANAUUGGAACUGAGACACGGUCCAAACUCCCACGGGAGGCA
Molecule: ribosomal RNA, 351 nt
Filed under: uncultured bacterium
Lineage: Bacteria
Description: bacterial SSU rRNA
Rfam family: Bacterial small subunit ribosomal RNA
Source: RNAcentral